RNAcentral lists this ribosomal RNA (413 nucleotides) under uncultured microorganism. RNAcentral describes it as "bacterial SSU rRNA". It matches the Rfam family "Archaeal small subunit ribosomal RNA", at positions 330 to 745 of the family's 1478-position model. The record is from RNAcentral.
GUGCAGCAGGCGCGAAAACUUCACAAUGUGCGAAAGCACGAUGAGGGAAUCCCAAGUGCUUGCACGUAAGUGUAAGCUGUUUCUCUGUCUAAAACGCAGAGAGAGUAAGGGCUGGGUAAGACGGGUGCCAGCCGCCGCGGUAAUACCUGCAGCUCGAGUGGUGACCGUUAUUAUUGGGCCUAAAACGUCCGUAGCCGGUUUAAUAAAUGCCUGGGUAAAUCGGACCGCUUAACGGUUCGAAUUCCGGGUAGACUGUUAAACUUGAGACCGGGAGAAGUUAGAGGUACUCCUGGGGUAGAGGUGAGAUUCUGUAAUCCUAGGGGGACCACCAGUGGCGAAGGCGUCUAACUAGAACGGGUCUGACGGUGAGGGACGAAGCCCUGGGGCGCAAACGGGAUUAGAUACCCCUGAGU